AUUGAAGGCAAGGCGAUACAGUGUGUGAUUUUAAUAUCUGUGCAUGAAACUUUAAGUCACUUCAGUUCAACCGUUUCUUAAUUUUCUAUGUCAGGCUACAGAUAUAGGAUCUUAAUUUGAGCCAGUUUGCUACAGCAGGACAAUAAUCCUGCAGCAACAGGAAAUGUGAAUUAUCAUGUGGAUUUUAAUUAAUGAACAUUUCUGUAGGGGUUGAUACAUUUUUCUUAAGGGAAAAUCAAGUCUGAAGUUUCAAAGUGGAAAUUACAAACUUCAGAAGCCUUUUUAAGCCUCAAAUACACUACAAGGAAAGUUCUCCUGCAACAGGGUGAUCAAAUUAAGAUCCUACAUAUGUAUGAAAGUUAUGUACUAUAGUGGUAUAAAUAAGGCAAAGAUGCAUUUAAUUCAUGCUUAGAGACUUAGGCUUGAGAAAGUCUUAGACUACAAGUGUUUCUAAAUGCAUGUGAUUUGGGACAGUAAGAAUUCAUCUCUUUCUCUCUGUCCAUAUUCUGUAUUGUGUUGCCCCUUUAAUUCUUAUUUUCUUUUGAAGCCGUCUCUGUACAAUUACUCUAAAAGAGAAGUUGUGCCAUCAGCGUGCGGCACUGUGAGUUCCCCUCUGUUUACCAAGAGCAACCCAGAAGAGCUCAGUCCUUUGUUGAGCGCCAGUCACUCCCAGCCACACAGCUGUGACACACACGCAAGCAGAAUCUUAGAAUGCGACCAGACAGACGGCUGCCAUCACGUCCCCACUGUCAUUCAUUCACAUGCUGAGAUCACAGCGCAGGCCAUCACAACCACUCAACAGGCUCCUCCCUAACACUGAGGGCUGGCAUUAUUAUCCAGUGGACAUGUGUAAACUCCUGAACCCAGACUCUUUUAAGAGACAACACAGAGACUGGAGCUGGAAGCCACCUGGGAUGGACUCAGACUCCCAUGAUCCUCUCUGGGCUGGCUGCUCAUCAUUAACCUGAUGACACCACUGUACCAUGGGAACACAUGAAUACAUUCCUCAAUAUAAACAAAACAACAAAUGCGCUAUAUCUCAUGAAUUAACCUUUGGGGAAUAGUCCUGUUUCUUGUCAGAAGGUUAUCAUCACAGUAGUACUCCUGCAAAUACAUUAAUAUUUUCAAAAUCACACAUCUUGACUUCUUGUACUUUGGAUAUUGACUUUGUUAAACGUACUGAAAAUAACCUGGCAUGGAACCCCAGCUGAAUUCACUUGGGAAACACAGCAAAACAAAACAAAAACAGACACUCAAAUGAACAGGUUUCCUCAUAAAUGAUUCCCUUCGAAGACAGUGAAAUGCAUUUCAAUUAGAAGCAGAGAAAAGUGUGGGUAGGAAAACAAACUGUGAAUUUAAUGAACAUUAAAUGUGUAACAUUUGUUUCUGACACUCUAUUUUGGUGACUGCCAUGCCCAUGAUUUGCUGGAUUGCUGUAGUGAAUUUUACCAUG
Molecule: long non-coding RNA, 1453 nt
Filed under: Salmo salar (Atlantic salmon)
Lineage: Eukaryota; Metazoa; Chordata; Actinopteri; Salmoniformes; Salmonidae
Description: lncRNA (ENSSSAG00000088374.1)
Source: RNAcentral